This 406-nucleotide ribosomal RNA is filed under the name uncultured bacterium. Its description in RNAcentral is "bacterial SSU rRNA". It matches the Rfam family "Bacterial small subunit ribosomal RNA", at positions 515 to 917 of the family's 1533-position model. The record is from RNAcentral.
CCGCGGUAAUACGAGUGCCUCAAGCGUUAUCCGGAAUUAUUGGGCGUAAAGGGUGUGUAGGUUGUUUUGUUAGUCUCUUGUUAAAUUCUUCGGCUCAACCGGGGACCUGCAAGGGAAACGGCAAGACUUUAGAGGGUGCGAGGGGUCUGUGGAACUCUAGGUGUAGCGGUGAAAUGCGUUGAUAUCUAGGGGAACACCAAAAGCGAAGGCAGCAGACUGGAGCAUUCCUGACACUGAAACACGAAAGCGUGGGUAGCGAAUGGGAUUAGAUACCCCAGUAGUCCACGCCCUAAACUAUCUUCUCUAGAUUUUCGGAGUAUCGACCCUCUGAGAGUCACAGCUAACGCGUUAAGAGAAGCGCCUGGGUAGUACGACCGCAAGGUUAAAACUCAAAUGAAUUGACGGG